This 92-nucleotide transfer RNA is filed under the name Ipomoea nil (Japanese morning glory). It matches the Rfam family "tRNA". Rfam says of the family: Transfer RNA (tRNA) molecules are approximately 80 nucleotides in length. Their secondary structure includes four short double-helical elements and three loops (D, anti-codon, and T loops). Lineage: Eukaryota; Viridiplantae; Streptophyta; Magnoliopsida; Solanales; Convolvulaceae. The record is from Rfam by way of RNAcentral.
CCGACCUUAGCUCAGUUGGUAGAGCGGAGGACUGUAGUCGGUUAAUCCAGCAGCACAUCCUUAGGUCGUUGGUUCGAAUCCGGCAGGUCGGA